Non-coding RNA from Camelina sativa (false flax), 121 nucleotides. The record is from RefSeq and is a predicted model, not a curated record. Lineage: Eukaryota; Viridiplantae; Streptophyta; Magnoliopsida; Brassicales; Brassicaceae.
UGCGGCGUCGUGUGGAGUCUAUGAUUCAGGCUCUGGAUCAAGCUAAGCCGUUGGAGAAAGCAAGAUCGAUGAACAACAAAUCAUUUAAACGUCUAGGACUCAACGAUGUCAACCACACCAA